This 59-nucleotide transfer RNA is filed under the name Synchonnus eungellensis. RNAcentral's name for it is "tRNA-Leu". Lineage: Eukaryota; Metazoa; Arthropoda; Insecta; Coleoptera; Lycidae. The record is from RNAcentral.
UGUGACAGAAUAGUGUGAUAAAUUUAAGAUUUAUUUAUAAAGUCUAACUUUCUUUAGAA